GACGAACGCUGGCGGCGUGCUUAACACAUGCAAGUCGAACGGAAAGGCCCUGCUUUUGUGGGGUGCUCGAUUGGCGAACGGGUGAGUAACACGUGAGUAACCUGCCCUUGACUUUGGGAUAACUUCAGGAAACUGGGGCUAAUACCGGAUAGAAUCUCCUGCUGCAUGUUGGGGGUUGGAAAGUUUCGGCGGUUGGGGAUGGACUCGCGGCUUAUCAGCUUGUUUGUGGGGUAGUGGCUUACCAAGGCUUUGACGGGUAGCCGGCCUGGGAGGGUGACCGGCGACAUGGGGACUGAGAGACGGACCAGAAGCGUACGGGAGGCAGCAGGGGGGAAUAUUGCACAAUGGGCGGAAGCCUGAGGCAGAAACGCCGCGUGCGGGAUGAUGGCCUACGGGUUGUAAACAGAUUUCGCCUGUGACGAAGCGUGAGUGACGGUAAUGGGUAAAGAAGCACCGGCUAACUACGUG
This 468-nucleotide ribosomal RNA is filed under the name uncultured bacterium. RNAcentral's name for it is "partial 16S ribosomal RNA". It matches the Rfam family "Bacterial small subunit ribosomal RNA", at positions 28 to 507 of the family's 1533-position model. The record is from RNAcentral.